This 315-nucleotide ribosomal RNA is filed under the name uncultured eukaryote. Its description in RNAcentral is "partial 18S ribosomal RNA". It matches the Rfam family "Eukaryotic small subunit ribosomal RNA", at positions 1470 to 1796 of the family's 1831-position model. The record is from RNAcentral.
CCAUUAGAUGUUCUGGGCUGCACGCGCGCUACACUGACGCACGCAACAGGUGCCUGCUCCGAGAGGACUGGGUAAUCAUUUGAGUGUGCGUCGUGAUGGGGAUAGAAUAUUGUAAUUAUUACUCUUCAACGAGGAAUUCCUAGUAAGCGCCAGUCAGCAGCUUGCGCUGAUUACGUCCCUGCCCUUUGUACACACCGCCCGUCGCUCCUACCGAUGGGUGAUCCGGUGAAUGAUUCGGACUUCAGCGGCUCCCCUGGGGUGCGCCGGAGAAAGUUUUGUGAACCUUAUCACUUGGAGGAAGGAGAAGUCGUAACA